GGAGUUAGCCGGUGCUUCUUCUGUGAGUGAUGUCCUUCCUGCCGGCUAUUAACCCGCAGGCCUUCUUCCUCACUGAAAGUGCUUUACAACCCGAAGGCCUUCUUCACACACGCGGCAUGGCUGGAUCAGGGUUGCCCCCAUUGUCCAAUAUUCCCCACUGCUGCCUCCCGUAGGAGUCUGGGCCGUGUCUCAGUCCCAGUGUGGCUGAUCAUCCUCUCAGACCAGCUACGGAUCGUCGCCUUGGUGAGCCGUUACCUCACCAACCAGCUAAUCCGACAUAGGCUCAUCCGAUAGCGCGAGGCCCGAAGGUCCCCCGCUUUCCCCCGUAGGGCGUAUGCGGUAUUAGCCUGGGUUUCCCCAGGUUUAUCCCCCGACUACCGGGCAGGAUUCCUAUGCAUUACUCACCCGUCCGCCGCUCGCCACCAGGGAGCAAGCUCCCCGUGCUGCCGCUCGACUUGCAUGUGUUAGGCCUGCCGCCAGCGUUCAAUCUGAGCCAGGAUCAAACUCUGA
RNAcentral lists this ribosomal RNA (510 nucleotides) under uncultured bacterium. Its description in RNAcentral is "partial 16S ribosomal RNA". The record is from RNAcentral.